GGACAAGUUUUCACAAUGUACAAAUACCGAGGUGUGCGAUAUGCUAAGGUUGUAUUGGACUGAAAAUUUUCUCUCCAACUUAAGUGAAGGAGGAGGUAAUUUCAGGGGCCUCUCCCAGUCAUUGCAGGAGUCCUUUGUAGCCACUAUCUGAUCAGAUCAGCUUGUUGCAAUAUCAUCUUAGUUUCGUACCGAAUUAGAUUUAGCUUUACAGUAGGUUUACUGCUUUACAGCUUCACAGGACAGUUUAUUGCUUCUGUUAACCUUUGAAUGAAGUUCUCAAAUAAUGCUUAACAUAACACCUGUACUAGAUUUUUAUGAAACAAGCUGUCAUACACUUGUCUAGAGCUACCUGUAAGUCCAUCCUCAUUUAAUAAACUGAUAAAUUCUUACCUUAAUUUAGUUGAGCUGUAAAUAUAUUAGAUAUCUCCAUGGCUCAGGAGGGACGGGGAAAGCAAUAAACCUAUCUGCAAAACUUCGGUAAUGUUUUGAGGCUUGAUUGAGGGAAUAGUUAGCUCCUUUCCCUUAUGUUUUGGCACGCAUUAUUUUAAUGUAAAAGUAAACAAUGCUUAUGGAACUCAAUUCACUCCAGACCCAGUGGGAAAUGAAAAUUACCUUAUGCUUCUGCCGCUUAAAGUUAAAGCUUUGAAGUUGCAUGUGUAAAGCAGGUCAGUCUUUUUUUUUAUCAAUUCAGUCCGAGCUUUAGCUUUAGGGACAGACUCCCCAGAUGCCCGGCCGUAGCCUCCGUACGGUGCCCGGGGCGGGGAAAGGCAGUUCGGUCCCCCCGCGUAGGUCUGGGAGAGCUCUGGCGGAGAUGCUGCGCCGCUCCCUGAGCGCGGGUUUGGGCUCGGGACGCGCUGCGGGCGGGCGGGCAGCUCCGAGGGACCGAGGGGCCCCGGAGCCCCGCGGCGGUGCGCAGGAUGCUGGCUGCCUCCCUCGCACGGAGCCUGGGAGGCUGGAGGCGGGGGAGACGGGGCGCGGGGGGGCCGCCCAGCGGUUCCCGGCGGGAGCGGCGCUGGCACAGGCGGGAGCGGGGGCGGCGCUCCCGGGGCGGGGCCCGGCCCAUCCCCGCGGGGCGGGGGGCACGGGCCCCGCGCUGUCCCCGCCGCCAGCUGGCUGCGGCCGCCCCGCCGCCCCCUCCCCGGACACGCAUUAUUUACAGCGGCCGCCGUGGACCUGUCUGUUCCACCUCGGGCUAUAAGAAGGCGGAUGAUGAGAUGUCCGGAGCCACGUCCGCGGCGGAUCUGGACGAGGCACCAGCCCGCACCAUUUACUUGAACCAGCCCCAGCAGAGCAAGUUCCGCGACAACUGGGUCAGCACAGCCAAGUACAGUGUGGUGACAUUUCUACCUCGAUUCCUGUAUGAGCAGAUAAGAAAAGCUGCAAAUGCAUUCUUCCUCUUCAUUGCCUUACUGCAGCAAAUUCCAGAUGUCUCUCCAACAGGAAGAUAUACCACCUUGGUGCCAUUGCUAUUUAUUUUAACAGUUGCUGGCAUCAAAGAAAUCAUAGAAGACUAUAAAAGGCAUAAGGCAGACAGUGCAGUGAAUAAAAAGAAAACAGUAGUUCUAAGAAAUGGGAUGUGGCAGAACAUUAUGUGGAAAGAGGUAGCAGUAGGCGAUAUUGUGAAGGUCACCAAUGGGCAACAUCUUCCAGCAGACAUGAUCAUAAUAUCUACCAGUGAACCACAAGCCAUGUGCUAUAUUGAAACAGCUAAUCUCGAUGGGGAGACGAAUCUUAAAAUACGACAGGGUUUGUCUCAAACUGCUAGUCUCCAGUCCAGGGAAGAAUUGAUGAAAGUGUCUGGGAGGAUAGAAUGUGAAGGACCCAACCGCCAUCUCUAUGACUUCACUGGAAACUUGCGUUUAGAUGGUCAAAGCCCAGUUCCUGUUGGUCCAGACCAGAUCUUGCUGAGAGGUGCACAACUGAGAAACACUCAGUGGGUCUUGGGUAUUGUUGUGUAUACAGGACAUGAUACAAAACUCAUGCAGAAUUCAACCAAAGCACCUCUGAAGAGAUCAAACGUGGAGAAAGUGACCAACAUGCAGAUCCUGGUGUUGUUCUGUAUUCUCCUGGUAAUGGCCCUUGUGAGUUCUGUAGGUGCCUUAUUAUGGAACAGAACACACGGCGGAGUUGUCUGGUACCUUGGCUCCAACAAAAUGCUGUCUGUCAACUUUGGAUACAAUCUGCUGACGUUUAUAAUCUUGUACAACAACCUUAUUCCAAUCAGCCUUCUGGUGACAUUGGAAGUUGUCAAGUUUACUCAGGCUCUUUUUAUAAAUUGGGACAUAGAUAUGUAUUACCCUGAAACAGAUACACCUGCAAUGGCCAGAACCUCAAACCUUAAUGAGGAACUUGGGCAGGUAAAAUACCUGUUUUCUGAUAAAACAGGUACUCUAACAUGCAAUAUCAUGAACUUUAAGAAAUGCAGUAUUGCUGGAGUGACAUAUGGUCACUUUCCUGAAUUGGAAAGAGAACGUUCAUCAGAAGACUUCAGCCAGCUACCUCCUUCCACCAGUGAAUCGUGUGAAUUUGAUGACCCAAGACUGCUGCAAAACAUUGAAAAUGAUCAUCCCACAGCUGUGCAUAUACAGGAGUUCCUCACGCUGCUGGCCGUGUGUCAUACUGUUGUUCCUGAGAGACAAGGAAAUACAAUAAUCUACCAGGCCUCCUCUCCAGAUGAAGGAGCGUUAGUGAAAGGAGCAAAAAAACUUGGUUAUGUCUUCACAGGACGGACUCCCCACUCUGUUAUCAUUGAUGCGCUGGGGAAAGAGAAAACCUUUGAAAUUCUUAAUGUGCUGGAGUUUUCCAGCAACAGGAAGAGAAUGUCAGUGAUUGUUCGAACUCCGGCAGGACAGCUACGUCUCUACUGCAAAGGGGCUGAUAAUGUAAUUUUUGAGAGGCUUUCAAAAGAUUCCCAGUAUAUGGAACAAACACUGUGCCAUCUUGAAUACUUCGCAACAGAAGGUCUGAGGACGUUGUGCAUUGCUUAUGCUGAUCUGUCAGAGAAGUCUUACAGAGAGUGGUUGAAUGUCUACAAUGAAUCCAGUACGGUUCUGAAAGACAGAACUCAGAAGCUAGAGGAGUGCUAUGAGAUCAUUGAAAAGGAUCUGCUGCUUCUUGGAGCUACAGCCAUUGAAGACCGCCUGCAAGCAGGUGUUCCAGAAACAAUAGCCACACUAAUAAAAGCAGAAAUUAAGAUAUGGAUUCUGACAGGUGACAAACAGGAAACAGCUCUCAAUAUAGGGUAUUCUUGCAGACUCAUUUCACAGAGUAUGUCUCUCAUCCUGGUCAAUGAAGAUUCACUAGAUGCAACAAGAGCUUCUCUGACUCAACAUUGUACCAGUCUGGGGGAGUCACUGGGCAAGGAAAAUGAUAUUGCCCUGAUUAUUGAUGGCCACACACUGAAGUAUGCCCUUUCAUUUGAAGUCAGGCAGAGCUUUCUGGACUUGGCACUCUCCUGUAAAGCGGUCAUUUGUUGCAGAGUAUCUCCUCUACAGAAGUCCGAAAUAGUAGACAUGGUCAAGAAACACGUCAAUGCCAUAACACUUGCCAUUGGGGAUGGUGCCAAUGACGUAGGAAUGAUCCAGACAGCUCACGUUGGAGUGGGGAUCAGUGGCAAUGAGGGCAUGCAGGCAACCAAUUGCUCGGAUUAUGCCAUUGCACAGUUUUCCUACUUGGAGAAGCUAUUGUUGGUCCAUGGUGCUUGGAGUUACAAUCGAGUUACCAAAUGCAUACUGUACUGCUUCUACAAAAAUGUGGUUUUGUAUAUUAUUGAGCUUUGGUUUGCUUUUGUUAAUGGAUUUUCUGGGCAGAUCUUAUUUGAGCGAUGGUGCAUCGGUCUGUAUAACGUGAUUUUCACAGCACUGCCACCCUUUACUCUGGGAAUUUUUGAACGGUCGUGUACUCAAGAUAGCAUGCUUAGAUUUCCACAGCUAUACAAAAUCACUCAAAAUGCAGAUGGUUUCAACACAAGGGUUUUCUGGGGUCACUGCAUCAAUGCCCUCAUCCAUUCCAUCAUUCUUUUCUGGUUUCCACUGAAAGUGCUGGAGCAUGAUGCAGUAUUCACAAAUGGACAGGGAGUUGACUAUUUAUUUGUUGGAAACAUAGUUUACACUUAUGUUGUAGUCACUGUUUGUCUGAAAGCCGGCUUGGAAACAACUGCAUGGACUAGAUUCAGUCACCUGGCCGUCUGGGGAAGCAUGCUGCUCUGGCUCGUGUUCUUCGGCGUGUACUCGGCCAUCUGGCCCACGUUCCCCAUAGCGCCGGACAUGCUGGGGCAGGCUGGAAUGGUGUUAAGAUGUGGAUACUUCUGGUUUGGCUUGUUUCUUGUGCCCACUGCGUGCCUUGUUAAAGACGUGGCAUGGACAGCGGCGAAGCAUACCUACCAUAAAACUUUGCUGGAGCAAGUUAAGGAGUUGGAAACGAAGACAAGAGAACUGGGAAAAGCCAUGCUUCGUGAUAGUAAUGGAAAGAGCUUCACUUCAUUCUCGAAACGCUUGCAUGGAGAUGAUCGUGAACGAACGUGACCAUUUGUUAAAAAGGCUCGGCAGGAAAACUCCUCCGAGCCUUUUCCGUGCUCAUUCUGUCCAGCAAAGCGUGUCACAUGGGUAUGCAUUUUCUCAAGAAGAACACGGUGUUGUUUCCCAGUCGCAAGUCGUUCGAUCCUACGAUACAACCAAAAGGAGAACAGAAAUAGAAUAAAUUAUUCUUUACUUGAUGGGUGGUGGGAAUAAUGGGAUUUGGAUCAAUUCAUCCACUGUUAACACAUUCAUGACUAGAUUUGGCGGCAGCAGCCAAAACACCAGAGAACUCAUUUCUGUGGCCUUAGCCAACAAGUUCCUGUAUUCUCCCUGCAAACCUUGAGUGCAUAUUGUGGGGGGGAAAUCAUUGUUUGACUUCAGUUGCGAAGCUCUGCCUAAAGUUUUGUUUAUGUUGUUAUGAAGCAUUUGAAUGUGCUAUGUGAGGUGUGAAAUUAAAAACAAUGUUUUGCCACUAUUUAAAACAUCAGCAUAAGGUUGUUCUGGGGGAAAAGUAGAAAAUUUAUGUUCCAUGAGAAAUCAGCCUUUGCUUAAUUGGAACGGGGGGCUGAGGGUUCCUGUUUUGUUACACACAGACCUAGUGCACACAACUGCAUGCAGACUUUACUCCUUCUUGUAUUCACUGUUAAUUAAUUUGGCUGAAAUUUUCAACAGACCAUUUGGUGUAAAAUUUUUGAUUCCACACAGUUUGUAGCUAAAAAUGCUUAUUUGCCUUCUUAUGACAGAAUUAACACAAGAUAGCAAUCAAUUAUUUAGACUAUUUCUUGCCCUCUUACAGGAUUUAUUAGGGUUCUAUCUUAGCUUUCUGAAACCCAAAUAAUAGCUUACUCACACAGCCAGGAUGUGAAAGUCAGAGCUUGGCAGAGUAGCUGUCUUGAGUGCAUGACAUUGUACACCAAGAUGAACUCAACCAGGUGCCUCCUCAUAACGCUUUAUGAUGUAUUUGGAUGUGCACUUCAAGUGUAGCCUGGGACUUCCCUCCAUGACCCCACUCCCAGUUUUAUAGUAGAACAAAACAGUGAGAAUUUCAAUUUAAAUGUACCAUCUUGUCAGAUAUGUUGAUAAGAUGUACAUCUGCAUAGGAGGCUGAUAGUGUAACCCUAAAGAAGCCUUCCCCAUGCCAGGUAAGAGGUUUGCAGAGGAGGGCAGGAAGGGAUUACACAUGUGCAUGCACACACAUGGAUACACACAGAGCUGGCCAUUGUGAAGAGAAGACCUGCUGUUUGUUUGUUCAGCCAAACCAGUCCCUCUUCUAGAUCUGAUCCAUCAACAGGCUUCCCAAAACACUCAGCCCCGUGAGCCCUGGAAGGAAUGCUGGCUCCAUGGCCUUGCUGUGCCACUGGGACAGGCGUGCUGCUGCAUAGAUUGGGAUUUUGAAGAAAAAAAAAAAAAAAGGCAAAAACUGGGGCAUAAGUUAAAGCUGAAAGAGCUCUUAGAAAGCUUAUGCUGUCCUCCAGACAAAUUCUAUUAAUUUUUGUCGCCAAGCCAUGUUUCUGAACAGUAUAAAGUAAAUACUGCUGUGUUUAAGCCAGGCUUCAUGGUUAAUCUAUAUACUACAUCUGUGUAUUUAAAAAGUUGGCGUUGUUUUUUGCCCUAUUGACCAUCAUCCAGAAUUUUUUAUUGAUUUAAAUAUAUCCAAAAGCAAUCUGAAUAUGAAUGUUUAUGUUUAGCAAAGGAGAGGAAAGCUCCAGCCUGGCCUACUGGUUUAAUCUUCCUUAAGGGUUGCAAGUAAAUGCCAGCGCUCAAGUGCUAUAAUUCAAUUUCCAGUGCCACCUCAGAAGUUCAGAGUCCCCUUCUGUUUUAGAAAAGGCAAAUUUUGCUCCUGCAGCAGCAGUCAGGAUUGCACUUGGAUUAGGCUGAUGGCACAGAGGGAAAAGUCAUCACCUUCUUUUUGCCGUGCUAAUGAGACAAUUAUGCAAUAAGGAAAACGUGCAAAUAAUUUUGCCAUAGGCAUGAAUGUCAAAGGGCCAUGUGUGGAUGUAUGUAUUUUCUGGGAGAGGAAUUUUGUACAAAUACUAGUGCUGAGAAUAAAUAAGGAGAGAGUAAACCUGAUCCCAGGAGUUUUAAAAUCUUAAUGCUGAUAUAACCUGUUAAACACUUCCUUUUAUUUAGAAACCAAAUCUGUUUAGGAAAUGUGUGGUGUAAGCCUCUCCUCAGAACCACUAAUUGUUUCUUCCUUUUGUAAAAACACAAGGAAAAUUAACUUCCCACCAAGGCAAAAUGAGAUCAGCUUAGUCUUUGUACUCUAAGCUACACACCAAACAUUGGCAUGUAAACAAUUUGGAGGCUUUUCAUGAGGCUGCAGAAAAAAAACUUUUAAAAGCCUUUGGAUAAUGAAGAAUGGCAAGUCAAGUAAAUGUGUUAAGCAGAGAAUAGAAGGGAUCCUGGAGUUUUUUCUGUUCUUAACUUAGGGCAACAAAAUUUUGCAGAACGUAAUGAAAGAUGCUGGGGAGGAGCAGCUGUCAUCUGAUGUGAUUAAUUUUAUUAGUGCAGACUAUGGGCUCUAUCAUUUUGACCUCCCUGUAAAUUGAGGUCAGUGUGUGUCACAAACAAAAACCCUCCCUAGAGUCAAUGGUGGUUUAGACUGAGGUACGUGUGUUGGUUGUCAGCUCAAUGGGAAUUGCACAUGGGAUUUGUCACAGGGCUAUACAGUAUGUGACACUGGGGCUAGUGGGUCAGACUUUAUCAUCACUGUAUGGCCUUAAUCUCUAGCUGAGUUAAUUCUGUAGAACCCACCCAGGUCAAGACCUGGCAUUCUUCUUGUUCUUUGGAGUCAUUACAGGAAUUAAUGUAUUGUAAUGUGCCGCAGACUGGGUGUUGGAGUUGCUUGUCUUGAUGAGCAAUGAUGAGGUGCAAUCGGGUGCUGUGUUAGCAGAAGGAGAAUGACAGCUGCUCUGCAUCAACAGAAUUCCUUGUUCAUUAGGGCAAAUGCACGGAGCAGUAACAGCAGCCUUUGAAAGUGCUGUGUGAAAAUGUUAUCAACUAGACAGGGUAUCGGAGCAGAAGGAAUGGGGGAUUUCUGCGUGACUGUCCAGACUUAACUACUGAGCCUGGAUCAGAAAAGGCCUCCCUGAGCAACUCUCUGCACUGACCAAAGGGAGAUGGGUUUGGAUAUUCAGAUGGAAGCGGUGAUUUUCCUGAAUUACAUUUGGCUCUGGUUGCUGCUUUUUAUAACACCAUAAUCGCAGCUUGCAUAGAAGCUGCUGCUCCUUUAAUGAUUGCCUAGUAGCAAUUUAAAGCUGGCGAGUGGGAGCCUGAGCUGCUCUGAGCACUGCUGAGGAGUCUGUUGACAUUUUCUUUUCCUUGACAGGGCUUCAGGUCUUGCUGUAGGGAGCUAGAAUGGGAAGUCAGUAAUAACUUGUCAAGGAGAAAGAGCAAAUAACCAAUAAAAGUAUCUGGGUCAAACUAAGCUGCUAAUAUACAUAAAAAUGUGUGUAGAGUUAACAGGAACUAUAUGGGCUGUAAAUUAAGAUAACGGUCAAGCCUCACUAAUCUGCCGUUUACUAGACUACACACCCCUUAGUGCAUGGCCAAAACUGUGCAGUCUCUUCCCCUACCUCAGCCAGCAGCUCAUAGCAGAUGCUGCAGGGAAGUCUCUGUUACCAAGAUUAUAUUAUUUUUUUAUGGCAUGUACUGGAGUGUGUUCACUGGGAGACAGUCAUGAUAAUAAAGUUGUAAAUAAAGCAGAUAAAGCUUUAUUUCUGUGAAUAUGUGAAAUGUGGGGACGUGGCCACACAGGGUGCAACUUGGCCUUCUGUGGACAACCCAAGAGCCCGAGAGGUGCACAGUCCUUACACUGUCCCUGUCCUGCAGGCUUAGUUUGCCCUUUUGGGCUAACUCACUAAAUCUUCUCUUUUCACAUUGCCUCCAGUCAUCAGUGAAGACUAGUGAUACUCUAUUUACAUUCUCCCUUGGUUUUAUAACUAAUGACUUAAUUUAAUCUUUAAAUGCUCAGAGGAGUGUACAGCUCAGGUUUGAAGCAGAGUAGGCAUUGAGUGGGUGCUUGGCCCUGAGAAGCACCUUGGGUUUAUCUGAUUUCUCAUUAGUGUAAAGAACUGAGGGUAUUUUACCUUUAUUUUGAAUCAUCACACAGUAUCAAUGCCUUAAACUUCAAUCAGGUUGCACGGGAGCUCUUUGUGUCCUGUUGAGUCUAACAAGAAGUGGUGAUGGUAUGAAAGCCCUGAGGGGUUGGAGAGGAGAAUUUGGCUGUGUCUAUGCUAUACCUGGAAUAUCUGGGUAGCAGACUGCUUCUAAAAUGUGACACUGACAAUGCAUGUUCCUGAGCCUCCAGACAGUUGGACCCCUUCUGUCCUGUUAGGAAGGAUUCUUGCACUCACCUCUUCCCAGUAUCCUAUAGACACCCAAGAGAGGCUUCACUACCUUUCAGCAUCUGUGACCAGAGCUGUGUGUCCGGAGAAGGCCACAGGAUAGGUCAGUACAAUAGAUGACAACAAAACAAAUCCAUAUGGGUACUUUUUCCAUAUGUAGCAGUAAGAUUAAUGGAGGCUUUGAGCUUUGUUGGCAAAUGAAAACCAGAAAGUGCCCUGCACUGCUUGGUCACACAAGUGAAUCCCAAAGGUGAUCGCUUCUCAAUGACCUGCAGGAAACCUAGACAGCCUGAGUUUAUCUGGCCAGGAAUGUGCUUUUGGAUGGGCUGUCUGGAGAGGUGAAGGGACUGGGAAACAAAAUAGAUCGGCCGAGACAGUGCUGCUGUUAGAGGUUAGUGAGGGGAGGGAUUCCUCAGGCAUCCAUGAAGAGCUGUGGUAAAGCUGAUUUCUUUUGGGUUCCUUCCUGUGGCUCUGGGAAGGGAGCAGAGCUGAGUUGAGAAUUUGUGAAGCACUGUUACCUCCUGAAGCUGAGUUUUUCUGGUACCAAGCUGAGUCCUGGACUUAGAAUGAAUCCCUGACAGAAGUGUUCCCUGCUUAGCAUGCUUUGGCUCUAGCGGGUUGUUUCCUGGGUUAUGAAGAUUGCUGAAUUGUUUACUGGUUCCUGUUUGCCUCAUGGAUUCACCAGAACUGAGCACUGGAUUUAUUUCAGUCCUGGCUGACACUCCAUCAUGGAGAGUUAGUGGGGCUUCUGCUUAGGUGUUGCUCCUGGGCAGGUUCUUCUCCCUCAGGCCAGUGCCAGGGGCUCUUUAAUCUGGGCACCUGGAUCUCUUUGUGAUAGUGUGUGAAGCCAUGGGGUUGUUUCAUUUGGGUUCAUGGCCUGCUCAUGUGUGGUGUGGACAGAAGGUAAAGUGGCUGAGUACUGGUGUUUAUCCAAAGCCUUCCUUUAUGUAUGAAGAAGGUGAGAUAAUUUCUCCUGAAGUCUGCCAAAGAGGUCCAUUCUCCUUCAACCUCUUUGUAGCUAAUAAAGAGAAACAGAAGUUGGUAAAUGACAAACUCUGUUUGGGCAAUCCCAGCUCUGGGCAAUCACUCAGAAGUCUAACAAUGAAGAAAAGUGUUAAUAUAUUGCCAAACUGUCACUGUGCAUAGCUGGAAGGUCAGCACCCUUGUAAUUAUGGAGCAACGAAGCCAAGGGAAAAAGCCAACAUUAACAGAAAGACAUGAUUGUUUUAAAUUCUAACUACCUUACUGGGUGGUUUUCCUGUGAAGAUGUUCCAGAUGUCGUUUUGGCAUAAAUUAAUCAAUUUCAAAACAUCUGCUGGGUUUCUUAGAAAACAUGGAGUUUACCAGACAGUGCUUAUGCUCUCCUCUGCCCUUCUGGUUGAUAAAUUGAUUCAGAAGGGGAAUGAGGGUACUCGCUGUUCUUACCAUCAAGAGUUUGUAGACUGGAAAGUUGCUCAAAGUUGUUGCUCAACUAUUUUUUUUUUAAAGGGCUCCAGUUAUAAGGUAGUGAGGCAGCCAAGCCCUCUGGGACUGUGUACAUGUGUGUGCUGGAAGAGUUGCCUGACUUGAAAACCUCCCCCUGUCCCUCCUCCUGCCCCCAAAGUGCAGCCCAUUGCACUGGGAGAUCAAAUAUUCAGCGUCUUGAGUGACAGGAUCUUUAACAGCAUCUUUUUCAUCAGCGAGCCAAGCCAUGUGCCCGCUUGUCUGUCAUAUCUGUACUCGAAUUGCUUAAAUAUUGUUUCAGAUGGGGACAUUUUAAUCUGGAUAUGCAGAGAGGAAUGAUGCUGUGGGGGGAUGUUUAAUUGGCUCCCAGCAGAGCAGCAGUGGUGUGUGGGUUUUUUCCUCUAGAAGUGUUACCAUUUUCAGGUCCUAUUAAUGUCCUCUGGUAGUUUAAAUACAGCAUUGCAUUACAGUGGAGUUUGUUUCCCUCUCAGACUGAAUACAAAUGAAGGUCAUUUACUUGUAUUUUUAGAAGGUUCAGAAAACUUAGACAAUUUGUAGCUUUGAACAGCAUUGUUGACUGUUGUAUGUCUGCACAAAAAUAUUUCCAAUAAACCUUUUAUUAAAGCAA
Molecule: RNA transcript, 10934 nt
Organism: Motacilla alba alba
Lineage: Eukaryota; Metazoa; Chordata; Aves; Passeriformes; Motacillidae
Gene: ATP8A2
Gene name: ATPase phospholipid transporting 8A2
Exons: 38
Source: RefSeq, a predicted model, not a curated record